AUCACUUCUUGACCUUUUAGCUAAGAUCAAGUGUAGUAUCUGUUCUUAUCAGUUUAAAGUUAUCAUUGGCUAGGGGUGCGGUGGCUCAUGCCUGUAAUCCCAGAACUUUGGGAAGCCGAGGCAGGUGGAUCAUUU
Small nuclear RNA from Callithrix jacchus (white-tufted-ear marmoset), 135 nucleotides. Its record names the gene U2. It matches the Rfam family "U2 spliceosomal RNA". From Rfam's summary of the family: U2 is a small nuclear RNA (snRNA) component of the spliceosome (involved in pre-mRNA splicing). Complementary binding between U2 snRNA (in an area lying towards the 5' end but 3' to hairpin I) and the branchpoint sequence (BPS) of the intron results the bulging out of an unpaired adenosine, on the BPS, which initiates a nucleophilic attack at the intronic 5' splice site, thus starting the first of two transesterification reactions that mediate splicing. NCBI's taxonomy places the organism in Eukaryota, Metazoa, Chordata, Mammalia, Primates, Cebidae. The record is from Ensembl.